This is a long non-coding RNA of Equus caballus (horse), 1144 nucleotides long. RefSeq lists it as uncharacterized. Lineage: Eukaryota; Metazoa; Chordata; Mammalia; Perissodactyla; Equidae. The record is from RefSeq and is a predicted model, not a curated record.
CUGGUUUACUUCAUUGCUGGUUGCGUACCCCCCAGUCCCUAGUUGACUGCAACCUGCACCUGGGCACAAACUGGGUCUAUUUUGUUUAUUCACCCAUGUAUGUCAAACGUCCAGCCCGGAGCUGGCAUAUAUUGGGAGUGAGAAAAAUAUUUAUUGAACGAUGGAUUCCUCACUUGACAGGGAAACUGAGGCACGGAGAGGCUAUGCAACUUGUCCAAGCCCACACAGCUUGGAAGUGGCAGCGGGAGGAUUCAACCCGAGGUCUUUCUAACGCUAAGACCCUGUUCGCCUUCUCGCCCUAGCCCACAGCCGCGUGCGCUGUGUCGCCUGGGCCACCGCGACUGGGCGCGGGAGCCAGGGCCGGCCUGAAGUCCUCCCCCGGGCCCCCCCCGCCGCGGGUGGAGCCGAGGGAGGCAGAAGCUGGAAGAGGCCGGAGAGGCCGCUCCCUAGACGGCGGUCGACAGGCUCCGAGGCUGUGCGCGGCGCUCCAGAGCUCCCGCCCCGCCGGCGCGGGAACCACCACUUCCUCCUCCCCGGGAUCUGUCUCGCUCUCUGGCCUCGGUCCCCCUCUGCCUGGCUAACCCGUUUCUCACUGGAAAGCGAAGCGACUCUAAGCUAUCGCGUUGAAUCCACAGCCUGAAAACACCUCCACCGGCAACGGUCCCCGAACCCCGAACACCCCAGCGCCCGCGCUCGCGGCGUCCCCGCUGCGACAGGUGCUCAAAAGCAACAGAGACGUUAAUUAUGAAUGCAGAAGGCAUGGUUCAGAAAGGAGUGAUGGCAGCCAAAGUUAACUGCGUCAUUGUUGUUCUGGAGGGGGCUUUUUACCUGUACUUUUUUUGAGAUCAGGCAAGGGCCUGUUGACAACUUAACAUGCCAAGAACCCAUCAAGUAAGGCAGGUAGAUGUUUAUGGCCUGUUCCUGGUCCUGGUGUAUUACCACAGCAUUGCUCAGAUUCCCAGUCUGAGUCAGAAUCCUAAGUGACUGUUCCACGUCGCAGGAUGUUUGUUUGUGUUUGCUGAAGGACUUAAAGUGCUUGCAAAAUGGUCUGUCAUAUCCAUCUUCAGAAAGAAGAUUGCUCAUCUUUGAGAUCCCAUGUAGAUGGAAAAAGGAGGUAGAGAUGAUAAAUAAAUGUACAAAAUCA